GUGCUUGCUUUGGCAGCACAUAUAUUACAAUUGGAAUGAUACAGAAAAAAUUAGUGUGAACUCUGAGCAAGGAUGACAUGCAAAUUCAUGAAGCAUUCCAUGUUUUU
Molecule: small nuclear RNA, 107 nt
Organism: Artibeus jamaicensis (Jamaican fruit-eating bat)
Lineage: Eukaryota; Metazoa; Chordata; Mammalia; Chiroptera; Phyllostomidae
Source: RefSeq, a predicted model, not a curated record